This 672-nucleotide ribosomal RNA is filed under the name uncultured bacterium. Its description in RNAcentral is "bacterial SSU rRNA". It matches the Rfam family "Bacterial small subunit ribosomal RNA", at positions 140 to 796 of the family's 1533-position model. The record is from RNAcentral.
GGAAUAACCUGUCGAAAGACGGGCUAAUGCCGAGUAAGCUCUCGGGAGCGUGAAGCUCUUGCGAGGAAAGAUGGCGCAAGCUAUCGCCGAUGGAUGAGUCUGCGUCCCAUUAGUUAGUUGGUGAGGUAACAGCUUACCAAGACGAUGAUGGGUACCUGGUCUGAGAGGAUGAUCAGGCACACUGGAACUGAAACACGGUCCAGACUCCUACGGGAGGCAGCAGUAGGGAAUAUUGCGCAAUGGACGAAAGUCUGACGCAGCCACGCCGCGUGAGUGAGGAAGGCCUUCGGGUUGUAAAGCUCUGUCAUCCGGGAAAAACGGCUAUCUGGGAAAGUUCAGGUAGCGUGAUGGUACCGGAGGAGGAAGCACCGGCAAACUCUGUGCCAGCAGCCGCGGUAAUACAGAGGGUGCAAGCGUUGUUCGGAAUUACUGGGCGUAAAGCGUGCGUAGUCGGUAUUGAGAGUCACGGGUGAAAUCCCAGGGCUUAACCCUGGAACUGCCUGUGAGACCUCAGUACUAGAGUGUGAGAGGGGAUAGUGGAAUACCCAGUGUAGCGGUGAAAUGCGUAGAGAUUGGGUGGAACACCGGUGGCGAAGGCGGCUAUCUGGCUCACAACUGACGAUCAGGCACGAAAGCGUGGGGAGCAAACAGGAUUAGAUACCCCGGUAGUCC